RNAcentral lists this long non-coding RNA (6167 nucleotides) under Olea europaea subsp. europaea. The record is from RNAcentral. Lineage: Eukaryota; Viridiplantae; Streptophyta; Magnoliopsida; Lamiales; Oleaceae.
CCAAGUGAUUACGGCUGCUGACGUGGCUGACUUUUGACUAAAUCAAAAUAUCGGCUGUCAUUUAAAAAAAAAUGAAAAAGAAAUGCCCUUUUCUGUGAACCCUACACCUUUUCCCCGACAUUUGCAAUCGACCCCAAACCCACUCCAUAGAGAAAAGCAGAUCAAAAUGGAAGGAAAUGAGAGCACAAUCAACGAAGCCGGCAACAUCGACGCCGGCGACAAAACUGGUAACAUUUAUUGUUCUUAAUGUUCAUUUAAAAUUUUCAGUUUGUUCGUAUCUUCCGGUAAAUGAGUGCUUUUUGAGUUUCUUUCUAAGUAUGAACCCCAAAAACUACCUAUUGUUGGAAGCUUAAACAAAUACCCAAGAUGCCAAAACGCACAAGCUGAAAUUUAACAAGCCCUAAAUCAGAGCAUAAAAACGGCGCCCGAAGGAAAAACUUACAUCCAUCCUUAAGAUUCUCCUCGGAGCUGUUUGGGUAUGUGGUCAAAUGAUUUCUGAGCUACUGGGGACUUAAAACCCGCAUCUCCGAAAUGCAGUUUUUCUGGGCUUAGCAGUGAAUAUGAGCUUCGGACUAUGAAGCAACGAAGAAAAAUUAUAGCUACUCAAUUUCACUAGUCCCGGACGAGAGAGAUGAGAGUAACAAAGCAGAAGUCCCCAUGGGAGAUUAUUACAGAGCUUUUACAGAGAACCAGAUUAUACAACUACGGAGAUUAUUACAGAGCUUUUACAGAGAACCAGAUUAUACAACUACCUCAAAAUUGAACUAUAAGAUAGCAAUUUCCCGUCCAUUCAUGUAUAUAAUAGUAGCAAUAAUGUAUACUUGCACGUAGCAGACUUUGUUUGAAUGUUCUUGUGCCAAGCUGUGUCGUGGCAACUGACAAGUUUUAUGGUCUUUUCUUCUUCUAUGCAGGAUGUCUGGAUAUUCAUUCAUCCAAUGAUGACAAUCCGAAUGAUAAAAGCUUAGGGGAAGAAAGUGACAUUGUGCCCGUCGUUGGAAUGAAGUUUAAAGAUGAAAAUGAGAUUUUUGAAUUUUACAAAAAUUACGCUUAUCGAGUCGGUUUUCCCGUAAGAAAAAGAAAUUCGAAGAAGGGUGAUGACGGGGUUCUACGUUAUGUAACUUUUACGUGUAGUCGAGAAGGCCAUCGAAUCAGUGCUUCAAGUUCUUCUCUAAAGCCUCGACCAACCAUCCAAACUGGGUGUAAAGCGAGAUUGGCAGCAAGUUCAGAAAUUUGUGGAACGUGGCGUAUUAACAGUGUCCAUCUCGAGCACAACCACAAAAUAAGCCCAUCCAAAUCUAGACUAUAUCGAUGCAAUCGCCAAAUUAGUGCACGCACGAAAAGACGGCUUGAAAUAAAUGACACUGCUGGUAUUCAAUCACACAAAAGUAAGGCUGGUAGAUCUGAAAAGAAGGUAUGCGUUGAAAAGGAUAGUGGAAAUUUCAUUGACAAAGUGCGGCAGUUAAAACUUGGUGAAGGAGACACUAUUGCAUUACAAGCAUAUUUUUCGAAGAUGCAAACAAGUAGUCCUGGUUUCUAUUUUAGUAUAGACUUGGAUGAAGAGGCCCGAUUGAGGAACGUGUUUUGGGCAGAUAACAGGUGUAGACAAGCGUAUAAGGAAUUUGGUGAUGUAGUUACAUUUGACACCACAUACUUGACUAACAAUUACGAUAUACCUUUCACUUUUUUUGUUGGGGUGAAUCAUCACGGACAAUCAAUAUUGCUUGGAUGUGGUUUGGUUUCGAAUGAGGAUGCAAUGACUUUUGUAUGGCUAUUUAAGACAUUGCUUGAGUGUAUGCAUGAUCAAGCUCCAAAUGGAAUAAUUACAGAUCAAGAUCGGGCUAUGCAAAAUGCAAUUGAAAUCGUUUUUCCAAACACAAAGCAUAGAUGGUGCUUAUGGUAUAUUUUAAAGAAAUUACCAGAAAAAAUUGGCAACCACAAUCAUAAAGGUUCUAUUCUUUCUGCUGUACAUGGGUUGGUGUACGAUACACAAACUUGUGAGGAAUUUGAACAAGGUUGGAACAAAAUGCUUGAAGAUUAUAAAUUGCAAGAACAUGGUUGGUUGACUGGAUUAUACAAUGAGAGAAGUCGAUGGGUACCAUGCUUUUUGAAAACAUCAUUUUGGGCUGGUAUGUCAACUACUCAACGAAGUGAGAGCAUGAAUGCUUUUUUUGACGGUUAUGUUCAUUCAAAAACAUCCCUAAAGCAAUUUGUAGAGCAAUAUGAGCGCGCAUUGAGAAGUAAAGUUGAAAAGGAGUUUCAUGCUGAUUUCAAAUCAUUUUCACAAAUGGUCCCAUGUGUAACGAGGUACGAAAUGGAGAAGCAAUUCCAAUCAGUGUAUACAAUCUCGAAGUUCAAGGAGUUUCAAGAAGAAUUUACCGGAAAGGUUUAUUGUGAAGUGUUAUCUGCUCAAGAUUCAUACUUGCAUACCAUUUAUGAGGUACGUGAGGAUAUCAUCUUCAAUGGUGGUAUGAAGAAAAAAAUAUUUAAAGUGUUAUUUCGUAGGGAUGAAUGCGAAUUUGAGUGCAGUUGUCACUUAUUUGAGUUUAGAGGAAUUAUUUGCAAGCAUGCUAUAUCGGUUUUAAUUCGUAAUGAUGUGGCAUUACUUCCUGAGAAGUAUAUAUUGAAGAGAUGGAGGAGAGAUGUGAAUAGACCCUAUACGAGGGUUCCGAUCAAUUACGAUGGUUGGAUUAGUACUCCCGAGCAGGUUAGAUAUGACCAAUUGUGCCUUGCGUUUACCAAGUUAGCUGAUUUGGUAGCACAUGAUGAAGAACGAUGCCAGGGCAUUAUGGAUUGGAUCGAUCUCCAAACAAUAGACUUAUCUAAACGUCAAAAUCCAUGAAGUAGAGGUUUUUUAGGCUUCAAUCAUUGAUAAAUUUUCAGGUUUUUUUCUUGAAUCAUUCAAGAUAGAAAAGAUAUUCUAGGUGUUUGAAGUUCAAACCUCUGAUUAAUGUAAGAGCGCUUGGGUUCAAGUCAUUUUGAACUGACUCAAACAGGAGCGGUGAAGUUUUGAGUUAAAGUUUGUGGGGGGGGGGGGGGGAAGUAUUGUUUUCUUUCUUGGAUAUAAAGAAGGAAAGAAAGAUUCUGUAAUGCCAGAGUUUGAGCUGUGUUCAAAUAGGAGCGGAUCAUUGCUCGGGCAGGGAGGCAACAAGGAUGAUCGGGAUUGGACUCAGCUUCAUAUUUGUGCUCGGAAAGGUGAUCUGGAGGAGGUAAAAUUUUGGCACCUCCGUGAGGUAUUCUACAUCUGUCUUUGAACUUCAUGUGUAAUACAACUUGUUUAGGUUCAGUUAGUGAUCUCUCUCUCUCUCUCUCUCUCUCUUUAUUAUUAUUAUUUUUUUCAUGACAGUAAUCUCAUUGUUCAGUGUAUAACUUUCUAUCAAGUAUAAAUAGGACUGUGAGAAAUCUUCACUUUUUAUGAUAUUAACAGGGGAAGAAUUAGAUGUCGUUUUGAUGCAAACCAAGAAACAUUUUUACCAACUUCUGGCUGUGGAACAUUAACUUAGAGGCAGUUCACUGCUGGUUUCCUUGAUACGAUUGGAGGAUCAAUAAAGUUAAAGAGACAUUCAAUAAAAUGGUCUUUUAACCACGUUUGUUUUAUGAUACCCGGGUGUGAGGCUGUUAUAGAACACAAUAGCCCCAUGAUCAAUGUAUUAAGAUGGACAUGUGGCAAUCUUAGAAUAGAUAAAAUAACAAAUAAUGCUAACAAGUGAAGAUGGCAACUAGCUCCAAUUUAGGACAAAAUUGAGGGAAUGAUCCAAGUGUUUGAGGUGUGUUUUGCAUGGACCUAAAGAACUCCCAUUUAUUAGAUCAAUGUGAUUCAAAUAUAACAAGUCAGAAGGAGGGAUACUUAAAAAUUAACAUGGCCUAGGUUAGACUAGGGAGAGCCAGAUCAAGUUCAAUUCUGACAUGCAUUUGUCCUUGCUGAGCUAGCUACCCUAACAACCAUUGGUUUUCAAAAGGGGAUAGUAGCUGUAGUCUUGGGUUAAAGAGAUUAUUCAAUAGGUUUUCUUCAUCCUUGUGAAAAUUAAGAUCAAAAUUGAAUGGAUGGAUGGAUUGUAACCGUAGUCAUUCGAUUGUAUGAUGAAAAUUGUGCAUUGAAGCAAAUAGGAGUGUAUUUGGCAUUAUCGGACGAUUCAUCCAACUUUGAGUGAGCACAAUGUAGAUACUGAACCAAACAUGAUGGGAAUAUAAUUGAAACAUGUGAGCGUGUGUAUGUGACUAUGAAAUCUUUUGAUAUCUUUUUAAUUAAUUAUAAUUGGUCCGUAUAUGAUAAAUGCUAGGUAUAAGAAGCCAACUUGAAUCGGCGAAGUUUGAGGAUUUGAAAUUUUGUUCAAGAUCUUGGAAUUUGUAGCUUUCUGCCCUCUCUUAUGAGUGACAAACGCAUGUUAAUAUCGAUUAGGAAGCAUUUGUUGAUCCCUUUUUACUUGUUUCAAUUCUCUCUUAUAUAGCAUUUAGAUGGCAGUUGGUAAGGGUGUGUUUUUAAGUUCUUUUAUUGUUGGACAAACCCUUCAAGAAAAUUGGCAAGGGUGUGUUGGGAUCAAGAAAAUUGGAUUUUGUGAGAAAAAUAUUGUUUGUUCUAUAUUACUUACUUGCAUUGUGAAGCAGGAAAUCCUCGUCAUUUCUAAUAUUUACUCUUCCUGUUGUCAAAUUGAACCUACCUCCUGAUCUUAGCUAAAACGGAAGCCUUGUCUCCACUUACAUUUUUGGCUAUGCUUAAAAUGUUUACUUAUAAGGAAAUAAGUAAUUGUUAAUCUGAAUAUAUAUGUAUUUUUUAAUUCGUAAUAAAAAUAAAAAUAUUUCUUAUUUUGACAUAAUAUAAGAAUUUUACUAGUGCUCUCGAAGUUCUUACAGAUAUUGAGUUCCAAAAAAUCCAAGGCCUCAAUAACUGCGUUUGGGUUAUGGCCCAAUUUUUCUCAAGCCCGAUGAUGUAUUAACGAACAUAUCAUGAAAAUAGAUUCUCUUGAAAACUAUGAAGAAAUAAAUGUGUCACUCUUAAGCUGAUCUUCGAAACCCCCCCCCCCCCCCUUCUCUUUUAUAUAUGUUAAAUUAUACCUGAAAUUCCUUUGGGUUGCUAAAGGAAUACCGAGACAGCGAUUCUACGGGAUUACAAGAAGGUUUAAAGGCCAAUGGACAUUACUUUCUUUAGGUUCGAUAAUUUGUAUUGAAGUUAGAUUUCUUAUACCGUUGUUACCAUAUGCACUAGCCAAUGGAGCUUAUUUUCUUUAGGUCUUAGGAUCAGUUUGGUAUUACUAUCGUUUUUGCAUCUUGUAGAAGAGCUUUAUGGGGAAGCUAACUUUAAUUUUUGUUUGAAAAUUAAUUUCUAAAAUAUCUUCAAAUUUCGAAAAUGCUUUUCAAGAAAGUCAUGUUGAGCUUGUUUUCUUUAAAAGUUCUUAAGUACUUUUACAAAAUUAGUCAACGAAUUCAAAAGUAACUUUUGGUUUUUCCUAUGUCAUGCCAAACUGACUCUUAAUCAUGAUUCAUAUAUGGUUUGUUUCCUCGGCUGACAAGCGUUGAUGCUUUUUAGAGGAGAUGGUGGUGAAAGUGGUGCCAGAAGUUUUGCUCCCAACUUAUGAAUUUAGGAAAUUGAUGUUUGUACAGCCCCUCACAAGUGGGGGGUUCGCAAAUUUUUUAUUGCGCGUGGGCCCCUCGAGUUGUGAGAGGACUGUAAAUGGUGCUGUGUGCAUAGCAUCGCCCAUGAAUUUAAGACUAUACUUGAAGGGCGGGGUUGUGCACACAGCACGAUGUACAGUACCGUUUAUAGUCCUCUUACAGUUUGGGGGGUCACGCGCAAUAAAAAAUUUGCGGACCCCCCCACUUGUGAGGGGAUUGUAGCCUGAGCUGUAUAGCUCGAGCUGUACAAACAGCAAUUCCCAUACUUGAAACCUUACCUCUACACUACCAACACUGACAGUUGGAGCCUUGAGGGAUAAUUAAACCACCUUGAUUAGGUUUGUUUUUCAUAUAACUAAGUACCUCGACAGUGUAAUCAUUGUACAUAACAAUUACAUUGUAACAUGUUAAAUAUAUUCAAAUUUUAUUAGUCACGGGAAAGGUUGGUUAUUAAUCUUGAAUAUCAUUGGGUGUAAAUUUUCUAAUAUUGCAAGUCACCAUCAUCUGACAGUGACAUGCAACAGGGCAAUUUUUUUUUUUUUUUUUUAAAUGGUGUGGGG